This 323-nucleotide ribosomal RNA is filed under the name uncultured bacterium. RNAcentral's name for it is "bacterial SSU rRNA". It matches the Rfam family "Bacterial small subunit ribosomal RNA", at positions 28 to 335 of the family's 1533-position model. The record is from RNAcentral.
GACGAACGCUGGCGGCGUGCCUAAUACAUGCAAGUCGAACGAACCGCGACUGAGUGCUUGCACUUGGUCAAGGUGAGUGGCGAACGGGUGAGUAACACGUGGGUAACCUACCUCAUAGUGGGGGAUAACAGUCGGAAACGACUGCUAAUACCGCAUAGGACAUGGGAUCACAUGAUUCCGUGAGGAGAGGUGGCGCAAGCUAUCGCUAAGAGAUGGACCCGCGGUGCAUUAGCUAGUUGGUAGGGUAACGGCCUACCAAGGCGAUGAUGCAUAGCCGACCUGAGAGGGUGAUCGGCCGCAUUGGGACUGAGACACGGCCCAAA